ACCCAAAAGAGACACAGGGAGGUAGUGACAAGAAAUAACAAUACAGGGCGAAUGUCUUGUAAUUGGAAUGAUGGUGACCCAAACCCUCACCAGAGUAGCAAUUGGAGGGCAAGUCUGGUGCCAGCAGCCGCGGUAAUUCCAGCUCCAAUAGCGUAUAUUAAACUUGUUGCAGUUAAAAAGCUCGUAGUUGUAUUUUUGCGUUGACGGUUUGACCAUUUGGUUGGUUAUUUCGUUUUCGCUUUUGGGAAUUUCCCUUUUUACUUUGAGAAAAUUAGAGUGUUUCAAGCAGACUUUUGUCUUGAAUACUUCAGCAUGGAAUAAUAGAGUAGGACUUUGGUUCUAUUUUGUUGGUUAUUGAACCUUAGUAAUGGUUAAUAGGAACGGUUGGGGGCAUUCGUAUUNNAA
This 405-nucleotide ribosomal RNA is filed under the name Babesia canis canis. Its description in RNAcentral is "SSU rRNA". It matches the Rfam family "Eukaryotic small subunit ribosomal RNA", at positions 443 to 902 of the family's 1831-position model. Lineage: Eukaryota; Apicomplexa; Aconoidasida; Piroplasmida; Babesiidae. The record is from RNAcentral.